GUGGGUGUUGGAAAGAUUUAUCGGUUUUGGAUGGACUCGCGGCCUAUCAGCUUGUUGGUGAGGUAAUGGCUCACCAAGGCGACGACGGGUAGCCGGCCGAGAGGGUGACCGGCCACACUGGGACUGAGACACGGCCCAGACUCCUACGGGAGGCAGCAGUGGGGAAUAUUGCACAAUGGGCGCAAGCCUGAUGCAGCGACGCCGCGUGAGGGAUGACGGCCUUCGGGUUGUAAACCUCUUUCAGUAGGGAAGAAGCGAAAGUGACGGUACCUGCAGAAGAAGCACCGGCUAACUACGUGCCAGCAGCCGCGGUAAUACGUAGGGUGCGAGCGUUAUCCGGAAUUAUUGGGCGUAAAGAGCUCGUAGGCGGUUUGUCGCGUCUGUCGUGAAAGUCCGGGGCUUAACCCCGGAUCUGCGGUGGGUACGGGCAGACUAGAGUGCAGUAGGGGAGACUGGAAUUCCUGGUGUAGCGGUGGAAUGCGCAGAUAUCAGGAGGAACACCGAUGGCGAAGGCAGGUCUCUGGGCUGUAACUGACGCUGAGGAGCGAAAGCAUGGGGAGCGAACAGGAUUAGAUACCCUGGUAGUCCAUGCCGUAAACGUUGGGCACUAGGUGUGGGGACCAUUCCACGGUUUCCGCGCCGCAGCUAACGCAUUAAGUGCCCCGCCUGGGGAGUACGGCCGCAAGGCUAAAACUCAAAGGAAUUGACGGGGGCCCGCACAAGCGGCGGAGCAUGCGGAUUAAUUCGAUGCAACGCGAAGAACCUUACCAAGGCUUGACAUGUUCUCGAUCGCCGUAGAGAUACGGUUUCCCCUUUGGGGCGGGUUCACAGGU
This 833-nucleotide ribosomal RNA is filed under the name Micrococcus sp. MMRF593. RNAcentral's name for it is "bacterial SSU rRNA". It matches the Rfam family "Bacterial small subunit ribosomal RNA", at positions 192 to 1039 of the family's 1533-position model. The record is from RNAcentral. Lineage: Bacteria; Bacillati; Actinomycetota; Actinomycetes; Micrococcales; Micrococcaceae.